Molecule: long non-coding RNA, 741 nt
Filed under: Pongo abelii (Sumatran orangutan)
Lineage: Eukaryota; Metazoa; Chordata; Mammalia; Primates; Hominidae
Description: lincRNA
Source: RNAcentral
AACGCAGCGUCCAUUGUGAGAUGCCGCAGUUCCAUGCAGUCAGAAGAUGGCUCCAGCGCGUUAAUUUUGCUCCUGUUUCUAGCAUGAGAUUUAAGGGGCAAGAUGCACUUCAGUGCUAUUUUUCCUUUCCGAUUUUGCCGUCGUCUCAUUUGGUUCAAAACAUCAAACUGCAGCACAUAUGGAGUUGUAAAGGGUCCAUUAAUAUAGAUGUUCUAGUCACCAGCUAAUGCAGAUGGAAAGGGAAAUACAGGGCCACAGAAGGAGAUUGAAAAGCACCGGCCUAAGCAACUUUGGAAAAUGGACACACCCAUAUUCACACCACCACAACCGAAGAAUAGAAUGUUUCUAUCACCCGGAAAAGUUCCCUCAUUCCCUUUUGCAGCCAGUCACCCUCAUUCAACCCCUGGCUCCCAGCAACCACUGAUCUAAUUUGAGUCACCAUAGAUUAUUUUGCUUAUUUUGGAAUUUCAUCUCAGGGAACCAUACUGUAUGCAUUCUUUCAUGUCUGGCUUCUUUUGAUUAGUUUGUUUUUUUGUUUGUUUGUUUGUUUAGACUCAUCCAAGUUGUUAAGUAGUGGCUAAUCUUAUAUUUUAUUUAUUUUUAUCGCUGAGUAAUAUCUCCUUAUAUGAAUAUAUUAAUAUGUCAACAUUUAAUAAUGCAUUCACUUUUUGUGGGUGUUUAAAUUGUUUCCAAUCUGGGGCAAUUUGAACAAAUAUGCUAUGAACACUUUUGUACAUGUCU